This 499-nucleotide ribosomal RNA is filed under the name uncultured bacterium. RNAcentral describes it as "bacterial SSU rRNA". It matches the Rfam family "Bacterial small subunit ribosomal RNA", at positions 1 to 489 of the family's 1533-position model. The record is from RNAcentral.
UAGAGUUUGAUUCCUGGCUCAGAACGAACGCUGGCGGCGUGCUUAAUACAUGCAAGUCGUACGAGAAAGUUCCGGCAACGGGACGAGUAAAGUGGCGAACGGGUGAGUAACACGUGGAUAAUCUGCCCUUCAAUCCGGGAUAAGCCUCUGAAAGGAAGUCUAAUACCGGAUGACACCGUCGGGCGGCAUCGUCUGACGGUCAAAGGCGGGGCAACCUGCCGUUGAGGGAUGAAUCCGCGCUCCAUUAGCUUGUUGGUAGGGUAACGGCCUACCAAGGCGACGAUGGAUAGCCGACCUGAGAGGGUGACCGGCCACACUGGGACUGAGAUACGGCCCAGACUCCUACGGGAGGCAGCAGUAGGGAAUAUUGCGCAAUGGACGAAAGUCUGACGCAGCAACGCCGCGUGGGUGAUGAAGCUUUUCGGAGUGUAAAACCCUGUCAGUGGGGAAGAACCGUAUGGGGAGUCACUGCCCUGUACCAGACGGACCCACAGAGGAA